Molecule: ribosomal RNA, 249 nt
Filed under: uncultured bacterium
Lineage: Bacteria
Description: partial 16S ribosomal RNA
Rfam family: Bacterial small subunit ribosomal RNA
Source: RNAcentral
UACGUAGGGUGCAAGCGUUAAUCGGAAUUACUGGGCGUAAAGCGUGCGCAGGCGGUUGUGCAAGACCGAUGUGAAAUCCCCGGGCUUAACUUGGGAAUGGCAUUGGUGACUGCACGGCUAGAGUGUGUCAGAGGGGGGGUAGAAUUCCACGUGUAGCAGUGAAAUGCGUAGAGAUGUGGAGGAAUACCGAUGGCGAAGGCAGCCCCCUGGGCCUGCACUGACGCUCAUGCACGAAAGCGUGGGGAGCAA